This is a non-coding RNA of Zootermopsis nevadensis, 6614 nucleotides long. Lineage: Eukaryota; Metazoa; Arthropoda; Insecta; Blattodea; Termopsidae. The record is from RefSeq and is a predicted model, not a curated record.
AAGGGCGGCUGUUCAGCUGUCUCGACGCGAGGGACAUCCAACAAACUCUCACCAUUUACUGCUGGCUUUCCACCUCCGCUCCGACGGCACGGCCUUCCUAUGUCAUGCCCGGAGGAGGGAAAAAAGCCGUGUUUCCAACGCUGGCUCUGCACGACCACGAGAAGGUGCGGGCGACGGCGAAUGAGCAGGACAGACAGAAGAAAUUCCACCAGUCGAGAGGUUCGUUAAGAAAAUCAGAGAGCAAGGACAGUCCAGAGAAAGAGAAAUCUGAUCCCCCGAAAGCUAAACCAGUUAAAACACCACCCAAAGGAGAGCCUGGAUCAAAGUGCACUACAAAGGAACUGCAGCAGUAACAAUCGAUCAUGGGAAUAGAACCAAAAACACCAUCACAACAGCUAUCCAGAGAGUGAACACUUUCGCCAAUUGUCAAAUACCGAAGACUACAACUAUAAAUAUGCAUUAGAGAGUACAGAACAUUUUUCAAGAAUAUAACAUCAAAUGAAUCAAUUAUUAAUUUUUUGAUAGCUGAUCUUCAAAACAAGGAUUAGAUUAACAACAAAUUGGUCUGGAAGAUUUCAAACAUUUGUGGUGGCUGGACAAAAAUAUUAUUGCAAAAUUUAAUGGUUUGAUAUUUUGUAGAAACUUAGAAUCAUGGUAACAUAGGCAACAAAUUGUUGCAAUGCGCAUUAUGUCCUCAGAUCAUACAUAAGGGAAAAUUUAAUUGGUUGCUCACUGCAUAGACAAGGUCCCUUAACAUUUCAUGUCAAAAAUAAAUUGACACAAUUAUAUCUUGGAAUGUCAAAAUAUAUAAGUGAACUAAAUUAUGGAAGAUCAUGCUCAGAGUACAGAUACUCAAUUCAGUAGCAAGACAUGAUACAUUUAAAAAGCACUGAGAUAAAUAUAAUACAACAGGAAUAUGUAUAUAUAGCCUCUCACACUGCUGUUGAUAUAUAAUUUUCUCUAAUAGUCUCUUUGAAAUAUCUACAUUAAAAUUACAUUACUGAUAACUACAUACUAAAGAAAGCUGCCAGUGAGAUUCUAAUCAAGUCUGUACCACAGCUUCUUCACUGACAUGACUGUUUCAUUCACAUGUUCCCUCAGUUUGAGGCUUCCAUAAAUAUUGUACCAAAAUUAUUGAAUGAAGAUGUAAAAAAUGUUAGCUCAAGUUUUAAAGGCUUGUUUAAACCCAAACAUGAUAUAAUUAUUUUAUCAAGGAGACCCAUACAAUCCAUCUAUCACAACUACUAUCAAAUGCUUCAGGAAAAUAUCAGAUCAAUAAUAUUCAUAUAAAAACAUAGUAAUUUAUUAGUAAUUAUACUGAUGUCUUAGUGAUUAACCUAUUUAAAGUCAAAUAUAAGUGUUAUACAAGAAAGGGAACUGAUUAUUAUCAUGAAAGGAAAUAUUUAAAAUAUACAACCUGAUGAAAAGUCCAUCCAGCAUUCAGAAUAGAUUCCUAAUUCUGAAUGCUGUCUUAUAAGCUGCAACUUCCAAUGGUGCCAACCACCAAAAAUCAAAAUUCCCCUUUAUUUUUCCCACAUUGGGGCUGUAAAAUAUGAAUGUUUUUUCUACAACAUGGCAGUGAAAGCAAUCCACAUCAUAGUUCAAUUUGUUCAGAAAAGUUGAAAAAUCAAAUUGAAAACAAUUGACCUAAUAAUAAUAAUAGUAGUAGUAACAUAUUCCCUUAUUAAAUUGCCAUGGCUUUCUUUGAUAAAUGUAUCAGCUGUCCCUAUUGUUGCCUGGAUUUCUUAUUAAAUAUUUACACUGCAAAACAAUAUAAGUUUUUUCCAUGUUUUCACUGUGAUGUGAAAUAAGUGCUGAUACAGACUAAUGUUGCUGGCACAACAGUAUUGCUCUAUAAAAUGCUGGACAAACCACAGAACUUAAUCCUUACAAAACAGCGUCAUAUGCUUGUUGUAUGGGAUUAAAAAGUAACCCAACUUCUAAGUGUUCAGAGAAGCCAACUUUACUUAAGAAAUAACUGCCUUCUUUCAGCAAUUGAUUAGACUUCUUGUACAAGCAAGCAAAUAAGAAACCCUUCUAUUAUGUCAAUGCAAAUAAUAAAAAAUUAAAAAUAAUACUGAAUGUGUAUAGAAGUGUGUGAGCACAUGCACAUACACACAACAAUCCUUAACAUGUACUUUGCCCACAUUCUUUCUCAUAUUAAUCUCCAUGUUUUAAUUGUCUGGUCAUCCUACUAUCACUGAAAAUUAUGCAAGUUUAGAGUAAAGGAUAGUAUUUUUUAAACACACAUCAUGUGAAUUUAUUAGUGACUGAGAUAUAAAAUGAAACAUAACUUCAACACAUGAACAUAAAAAAGUGAAUGACAAUUUUAACUUCAUAUGAUGUAUCACAGAAACCAGUUUUUUGUGGUUGUUUUUGUUUAGUAUUUAAAAUAUAAAAGUAAGAACUGUGGCACGAGAAAGGCGAGUCUAACUUUGAAGCUGUAUUCCUUUCACACAAAUGAAGUCAGAUUCAUUAAAUGUAAAAUACUUUUUAUUUAAUUGUCUAAUUUAUUGAAAGAUGGUCAGGCUUCCUUACAGGGGGAGGAGAAAAAAGAAAGAAAAAAGUGUCACUUUCUGAUUGUAAAUACAUCUGCAGCACAUUAUAUAUAUUACUGUUUGUGAUAAGAAGAAUUCAUCUAGUGCUUUAUCAAUGAAUUAUCUCUGUAACAAAAUUAAUAUUUCCAUUAAUUAGUAUUACAGAUUUUGUGCAUUUGGACCCCAUUACAUGACACUGCAAGAGUUCAAAAUUCAAACCACUAAAAGAAAGCUCAGUAUCUUGUACACAUAGGAAAAUGUUCAGAAAUGUUUUUUUGUAGACAGUUGUAUUCAAUCUACUGAAAUAAAAUUCAGGUUAAAGAACUAGCUAGAGAGUUUUCAUACAAGGGAAGAUAUUAAGAUUCCUAAUAAUAAGCUCAUUCAGUUAAUUUCUGUACAAGAAAUAAAUUACAGUAAUGUGGGAAAGAUUUUUUCCAACAGUAGUCAUUCACAAUACAAAGCAGGCGUUAUGGGCAUAUGCUACAAAGUAUAUGAAGGCCAUAUAAUUCAGUUUUAUGGGAAUUAUAAUGUAGCAUAAUAAGGAGACAUGAGAUCAAAGAGCAAACAGAUUAAAAACAGAUAGGAGAGACUAAUACCUCAGAAGAAAUUUAAAGGUGGAGAGAAUAUGAUCUUUGCUUAACUACCAUGCAAAUGAGACCUUUGUCACCAACGUAAAUAUGCAAUCAUCUCAUCUUGGAACAGGCAUGACUGUGGAAGGAAGAAAAUACACAUUCUAAAGUUAAAAGAUAGCCUGCAGUUCCAACAGAAACAAAACAAACGAAGCAGCAGUUGGGUACCCUGUAAAGGUGGAAAAUUAUAAUAGUAGUGUGACAGAGAACUUCUGUCCUUAAAUCACUUUCUUUUCACAGAUCUAUUUUCGCAAAAUUCUGAAUACAGAUAUUAAAAGCAUUUUACACUAUGCUCAGAAAUAUUCAAUCAGUCUUCUCAAACAUGUCGCCUUGUGAUCAUUCAUAAGAAGACAUAGUCAAGAGAAAAUAAAUAUGUACACAGAAUAGUUCACUGAAAAUGUCUUCUAAUCGAAGCUGUGGCUAGGUAUAUAUUGGCCAGCAUGUAGUCAUGCAGAAGAAUAUACUCUCUAGUUCAGAUACUGAAUUACAAUCUACCUGCAUUUUAAAAUUCUGGCUGCAAAAAUAUCAUACUUAUGAUGAUUUUAAAGCAGCUAUUUAAACACGGGUACUACAGCUUUCAAGUACAUUUCUUAGUAACAUAUGCAUUCUAAGACCAGUGAUUUCUUUAAUAACAUCUGAUUUUACACUAUUUUUUUUAUCUGUGUUAGAAUGAAUAUCCUUCUUGCAUGGCCAAUGCAGCAGCAUCAGCUAUUUACCACACCAUGCCACUGAUAAAAGGAUGAACUGCUCUGUAUAUUACAUAUAUUCAGAUGAAUGAAUGUUAAUGUCAGAUGUUCAAUUUGUUUGUUAAUACUUAUGUAUGAGAUAUAGUUAAAUUCUUAUAUAAUUUGGUUGUAUCAUUGAAAUGGAUGCAGUUUACAAACUGAACUUCUUGGAGUUAUCUCUCUAAUAGCCACAUACAUAAACACAAAUCUAUCUCUAUUCAAUUCAGUUGUUGUAACAACAGAAAACUAAACACUUCAAACAUAAUCUUACACUGUGAAUAUUCAGUUUACAUCAAUGAGAUAUGACUGAAAGUUUGAAGAUUUCUGUCUUCUGGGUUGUUGCGCUGUGUAGUCUGGUCGAUGUUAACCAAUGUUUCAGAGGUCAUACUGCCUCCGUCAUCAUCACCCUGAUUGGUUAACAUCGACCAGACUACACAGCGCAACAACCCAGAAGACAGAAAUCUUCAUACUCACUGUUGUGAAAACCUCAAAUCUUACAGACUGAAAAUUUGUCACACUGAGUCAACAAAAGUAACAAAACGUCAGAGAUCCAUUAUUCAUACCUGCAGCAGAUGACAGAGUUAAGCCGCUAUACUGAAAUUGUACCAUCACAAAGCAGCAAAACUAGGACAACAACAAAUAUCAAUAGUAAAAGCACAGGCAACGAAAGUUAUAGUUGUGCUAAUUACAUGUUCUUUUAUAGAUGUUUAUUAUAUGCAAUGCAAGGAAAAAAGUAGACAUAGAAAAGUUUUGGUGGAAAGUUUAACUCAAAAAGAUGCUUUACAUGUUGUACAACUCAACACUCCUAGAAUAAAAGUGAACUGUAGUUAGUGAAGAUAAGACAUUCUAAGAAUUCAAAUCUUUAAGUGUAGAAAGGAACAGUAUAUCACUGUCAGUAACAAUACAUCAGGAAGGUGUGCCAUGAGCAGUCAAAAUUGUAAUGUUGUGUCACACUAGCAUUUGGAUUAGAUCCACAUCACUUGUUAAGCUGCACCCAGUGAAUCUGAAGCUCAAUUCGUCCAUGGGACAAUACACACACACACACAUAUACAUACAAAUUAGGUAUCUGGAAACAUGGUAUUUGGUAGUGUUCUGACCUGGACAAUAGCCUAUGAACAGUUAUCUAUGGAGUCAUGGGAGAUGAAUGUUUCCUGUGUAAUAUUGACCAAAUGUUACUAUAUCAGUAACUGACUUUUCUGUUUUCUGGAUAUUGAAUCACUACAAUAUCUCCAAGUGAAGUAGGGAUGGUAAAUAUGUAUGCUGGUGUUAUCUUUCAAUAAAGUCAAAUCUAAAUUUGCCUUUCACAGAGUACCCUCCACCACCUUCCAGAUACCUACAUAUAUGGUCAUUUGUUUGAGUGCCUGCAUGUGUGUGGAGAGUCAUCUCAUAGAUUAAGGGGUAACAAAUCAAUACUGCAUAACCAACUUACAUACACAAAAAUGUCUUAAUGUUAUAAUCAUUUAUAAGCAGAUCUAAGUUGCAGUUUUCUGAAAGUAAUGAUAGGAGUAUAACACAUUGAUCUUUUUGGAUACUUUUAUUUCUAAAAUAUUAUUACACAUGCUAUAGCUGCUAAAAAUUUGAGAUGACUUGAGUUCAGUUUCUCAGUUUUACCAACAUUUGCAAAAGGUUUCGCACACCCACACACAGUCUCAAUGUAUAGGAAGCAUUUUGCCACCAGUUCAGUCACAUUUAAUGGUCAGGUUAUCCAGAAUGAAGACAUGCUAGUGGAUACUUAACGAACUUCUGAUUUGUUGCCAGAUGACAUAAGCUGAUUAGCUAAACAUAUAGCUCUGUCUUGUCUUAUACUUUCCCCUCAUUGCCCCAUGUACUGAUAAAAAUACCCUCAAAGAAAAGUACACUCCCUCCUUAGACAGUAUACAUUCAUUACAUUAUUAUUAAUGUGGACUGAAUUUUAUCAGCUGAUCCAUGUGAUGUAUAAGAAAUCAACGCAUUGGAGAUGUAGUAGUCAGACAAUGUUCACUGUGUGUAGUUUCUAAAAGAAAUGAACACUGAGGAUCCAAGAAGUAUUUCACUGAAAAUAUGACAUUACAUAUAUGUUGAUCUGUAAGUUUCCUUUCAAAUAAAAUUCAUAAUAGAAAAUAAAAUUUCAUGAAAACGUCUCCUAAUAUGCUUGUGACACAUCUUCCUCAAUUUUAGUGUUUAAAACACACACACAAUAAAAUGUAAUUCCCACACAGGUAUGUGAAUAUACCAAUUAACUUCAUAUACUUUAUCAUUAAUUUCUUUCUCAAAAUAUUUAUGUUCAGAUUUGAAAUUUUAGAAGUGUCUUAUGUAUAUAUGACAACAUCCACUUGGCUUCUUCUUCUCCAUUGAAAUUAUCAGUCUGCACCUCAGAAAAGUCUCUCAGCAACCUCAAUUGCCCAAAAAUUGUCAAUUGAUAUAACUGUAAUGGGAAUACUGUGUACUGGGUGAACCUAAGCAUUGUUUUCAAAGUAAUGUAUGUUAAAUAACUGAUGUUAAACAUACUAUUAUUCUGGAGGAAAGUGCUUUUUUAUAUGUGCAAUUAUACAGGGGCCUUUGGAUGCAAAGCUAGGUCCAUGUACAACUAAACGUGUUCACAAUAAAAUUAAAAUGAUAAAUGUGUACUGGAUCAAUUCAUAUAGUAGGUAAUGCUUUAUAGUCUCUAAUUAUGUGAAUGAUUGUAUAUAAUUUUAUGAAGACGUUUUCUAAAAUAAAGGCUUCCGUGAUACAUUUAGACACCA